GGAGCCGUCGUUCAGCGGUCUAGGACACUGGCCUGUCACGCCAGAGAUCGGGGGUUCGAAUCCCCUCGGCUCCGCCA
RNAcentral lists this transfer RNA (77 nucleotides) under Armatimonadota bacterium. RNAcentral's name for it is "Armatimonadetes bacterium (marine sediment metagenome) tRNA-Asp". It matches the Rfam family "tRNA". From Rfam's summary of the family: Transfer RNA (tRNA) molecules are approximately 80 nucleotides in length. The record is from RNAcentral. Lineage: Bacteria; Bacillati; Armatimonadota. RNAcentral also lists the same sequence under 1 other name.